This 2386-nucleotide long non-coding RNA is filed under the name Pongo abelii (Sumatran orangutan). RNAcentral's name for it is "lincRNA". The record is from RNAcentral. Lineage: Eukaryota; Metazoa; Chordata; Mammalia; Primates; Hominidae.
CGGCGCGGUGCAUGGGGCUAGAACUCAGGGCCCAGCACGUCUGACAAUGCAGGUUUCCCCGCUCGCCUGUUGGGUUUUUGAAACGCCCUCAGCGGCGUUUUCCUCCUAAUUCUGGUUUGGAGGAGCCAUCUCUCUCCAUCCCGUCUGCCAGCGGGGUUUGCUUCACACACAGACGUGGGCAGAUGGCAUCGGGGACACAGGGAAACCUGACCUUAGAGGAAAUGGAAAAGUUGGAGAGACACUGAGCACUGAUAUGAAAUAACUCUCUUGCUGAAAUACGCGAAGGGAGUCCCAGCAGCCAUAUUAGUAUUUCCACGUCCUGUGUCAGCCCCAAGUAGAGAGAACUUGGAAUGGGAGGGGAAAUGGCAGCCAUCAGGAAACGAAAAGCUGGCCCAGAGAAUUCUAAGCAAGUCAAUCACCAGUCAAAGUAAGGAGGUGUUUUUUUGUUUUUGUUUUUGUUUUUGUUUUUUUUUUAAUAUCCACUUGCCAUUUGUUUUACCCAAUUCAAAAUUUUUUUCCCAAGAAAAAAAAUACACUUGUAAAAUGUCUCAUUAACAGCAAAGAUGAAUUGGACCUCAACCUUUGAAUGCCAUGCUGCUUUAAAGGAAAUUGUAGAAGUUCGUGGAAUGAAAGAAUACUGCCAGCAUGCAUUCGGACUAUUUUCCAUCUGUGUGGUAGAGUCUGAGCUGUGUGUUCUACAGAAGCUCCAGUUGGCAGAAGGACGACUUUGGCCCUGAAUUUUCAUUUAUUUUUGUUUCAAAAAUGAAAGGAUAGUUGCUAUUUUUCCAAAAUUUAGAAUUUUAAAUCACUACCCACUUUUGAUCUCUGAUUUAAAUCUUGUUUUGAGAGACACAUUAGACAGUCUCUACAUAUUAUAUUAUUUUGCAAGGGAAAAAAGGAGAAAAAUCGGAAAGUGCUGACUUUCUGUGUCAAAUGAAUGGAUUAUUGGCUUCAUUCUUCUUUAUUUUAUAAAGGUUUUCUUUUCAAGAAAUGCAGAACUUUACCAAUGCAAUAUAUAUCAGUCUAAUCGGCAAUCAUAAAAUGGGUGGCAUGAGGGUGGAACAUGGCAGCAGGGAGAUCUCAGCUGGCAGCAAAGCAUGAAGUGGUGAUUGUGUUUUUAUGGAAAGCCUGUUUUGUCCAGUGGCUGAUGAAAUUCAAAAUGGUCCCCUAAGCCUAUCUCUGAAGCCAGCAGUUCAGAAACAGUAGAGCUAGCAGCUCUCUUAACAUCUGUACCCUGCCCCCUAUUUACCCAACGACACCCCAGCCCAGAGCACCUCCAAAUGUAAGACUUAAUAUAACCAAAUGGAAGCUGCUAGGAGGUACUCAGUUCCAGGAUCAACAGUUUUUGCUUUAAAAAGAAGGUAGCAGUUCAGCCCCUUGUUUGUUUUUGCCUAUGCAUUUCCCUACCAGCGGGAGACCAUUACCCAGGACAAUGUUCUAUUCCAUUGUCAUUAUCUCCUACGGAACUAAAACAAUGCUCUGUUUGGCCUCCCAGGCAAGGGGGAUUUGUUCCACUCUUCUUUAAGCAGAGUUUCCAACUGAGUUUCUGACCCAGUCACUUGAUAUCCAGCAGGGAUACCUGGUGACAAUUUUUUAAAAAUCUGCUAUCUUGUGUUUUGUAAUUUCAUUCUCUGAGAAAUAGCCCAGAAACUUGAUUCACAAUCAAGAGGAAUCACACCAUGGCUAAGGGAAGAGGGUUUGCUCAAGCUGCAUGAGCUCUAUAAUUUAAAUCAGCCAGAUAGGAUUUAUUUAUAGUUGUUUUAUCUUUUUUUGUUUUGCUAUUGAAUAGCGAACCCUAAAAGGUUUCAUAACAUUGUGUUGUUGAUUCUCAAACCCCAAAAGGUUGGGAACCACAAGAGCUGAGAUGUUUUCCAUUAGACCAGGGUGUUUCUUUUCUAUUUCUUUUUAAAUACAUAAGUAAAUUAUAAAUGUAGAUAGAGAUGAGAUUGAGAUAGAGAUAAAUGAUGCCAAGAUUUCUAACAUUUAUGACAAAUGCUGGUGAACAAUAACUAGUUGGAGCUAUUUUGUCAUACUUGAGAUUUUUCCAGAAAAUAGAACAAGCCCACAGAAUGGGCUUAAUCUGCCAAAGCAUCUCCCUCUUUACAAGCAUCUACACAGGCCUCCAGCCCUAAGUACUUUCACCUGGACAAUGUUGUGAAGCUUCAUCCAGUACUAGUAGCAGAAAGACUUGUUUACUUUGGAGCUAAGCAGUGAGUAGGACACUUUAGACUUUGUUUUGUCCUUGGACUCAAGGCAAACUAAUUGUUAGCAUCACUCCAGUUGUUGCUAUAAUUUUAUUACUCAUAUGUAGCUAUCAGUAACUUGAGAAACUGAAAUGUAACUGCUGCAUAUAAUAAAAAAUCAAUGGCCAAGACUGGCUACCUGA